RNAcentral lists this ribosomal RNA (460 nucleotides) under uncultured bacterium. RNAcentral describes it as "partial 16S ribosomal RNA". It matches the Rfam family "Bacterial small subunit ribosomal RNA", at positions 338 to 795 of the family's 1533-position model. The record is from RNAcentral.
CCUACGGGAGGCAGCAGUGAGGAAUAUUGGUCAAUGGACGAGAGUCUGAACCAGCCAAGUAGCGUGAAGGAUGACUGCCCUAUGGGUUGUAAACUUCUUUUAUAUGGGAAUAAAACGUUCCACGUGUGGGAUUUUGUAUGUACCAUAUGAAUAAGGAUCGGCUAACUCCGUGCCAGCAGCCGCGGUAAUACGGAGGGUCCGAGCGUUAUCCGGAUUUAUUGGGUUUAAAGGGAGCGUAGGUGGAUUGUUAAGUCAGUUGUGAAAGUUUGCGGCUCAACCGUAAAAUUGCAGUGGAAACUGGCAGUCUUGAGUACAGUAGAGGUGGGCGGAAUUCGUGGUGUAGCGGUGAAAUGCUUAGAUAUCACGAAGAACUCCGAUGGCGAAGGCAGUUCACUGGACUGCAACUGACACUGAGGCUCGAAAGUGUGGGUAUCAAACAGGAUUAGAUACCCGGGUAGUC